This 433-nucleotide ribosomal RNA is filed under the name uncultured Lachnospiraceae bacterium. RNAcentral describes it as "bacterial SSU rRNA". It matches the Rfam family "Bacterial small subunit ribosomal RNA", at positions 952 to 1382 of the family's 1533-position model. The record is from RNAcentral. Lineage: Bacteria; Bacillati; Bacillota; Clostridia; Lachnospirales; Lachnospiraceae.
CGUAAGCAACGCGAAGAACCUUACCAAGAACUUGACAUCCCCUGACAGCUGUUGAAAGGCAGUGUCUCUUCGGAGCAGGGAGACAGGUGGUGCAUGGUUGUCGUCAGCUCGUGUCGUGAGAUGUUGGGUUAAGUCCCGCAACGAGCGCAACCCCUUAUCCUUAGUUACCAGCACGUAAAGGUGGGGACUCUAGGGAGACCGCCGGGGACGACUCGGAGGAAGGUGGGGACGGACGUCAAAUCAUCAUGCCCCUUAUGUCUUGGGCUACACACGUGCUACAAUGGCCGCAACAGAGGGAAGCGAGAGCGCAAGCUGGAGCAAAACCCUAAAAAGCGGUCCCAGUUCGGAUUGUGGGCUGCAACCCGCCCACAUGAAGUCGGAGUUGCUAGUAAUCGCGAAUCCAGCAUGUCGCGGUGAAUGCGUUCCGGGCCUU